UACGUAGGGUGCAAGCGUUAAUCGGAAUUACUGGGCGUAAAGCGUGCGCAGGCGGUUUUGUAAGUCUGUCGUGAAAUCCCCGGGCUCAACCUGGGAAUUGCAUUCGAGACUGCGUGGCUAGGGUGCGGAAGAGGGAAGCGGAAUUUCCGGUGUAGCGGUGAAAUGCGUAGAUAUCGGAAGGAACACCAGUGGCGAAAGCGGCUUCCUGGUCCAGCACCGACGUCAGGCACGAAAGCGUGGGGAGCAAACAGG
This 252-nucleotide ribosomal RNA is filed under the name uncultured bacterium. RNAcentral's name for it is "partial 16S ribosomal RNA". It matches the Rfam family "Bacterial small subunit ribosomal RNA", at positions 524 to 776 of the family's 1533-position model. The record is from RNAcentral.